Molecule: ribosomal RNA, 500 nt
Filed under: uncultured bacterium
Lineage: Bacteria
Description: partial 16S ribosomal RNA
Rfam family: Bacterial small subunit ribosomal RNA
Source: RNAcentral
AUUGAACGCUGGCGGAAUGCUUUACACAUGCAAGUCGAACGGCAGCACGGACUUCGGUCUGGUGGCGAGUGGCGAACGGGUGAGUAAUGUAUCGGAACGUGCCCAGUCGUGGGGGAUAACGUAGUGAAAAUUACGCUAAUACCGCAUACGAUCUAUGGAUGAAAGCGGGGGAUCGCAAGACCUCGCGCGAUUGGAGCGGCCGAUAUCAGAUUAGGUAGUUGGUGGGGUAAAGGCCCACCAAGCCAACGAUCUGUAGCUGGUCUGAGAGGACGACCAGCCACAAUGAAACUGAGACACGGUCCAAACUCCGACGGGAGGCAGCAGUGGGGAAUUUUGGACAAUGGGCGAAAGCCUGAUCCAGCCAUUCCGCGUGCAGGAUGAAGGCCCUCGGGUUGUAGACUGCUUUUGUACAGAACGAAAAGGUUUCUACUAAUACUAGGAGCUCAUGACGGUACUGUAAGAAUAAGCACCGGCUAACUACGUGCCAGCAGCCGCCGUAA